RNAcentral lists this transfer RNA (23 nucleotides) under Paradoxopsyllus repandus. RNAcentral's name for it is "partial tRNA-Leu". The record is from RNAcentral. Lineage: Eukaryota; Metazoa; Arthropoda; Insecta; Siphonaptera; Leptopsyllidae.
AAAAAGUCUUUCUUUUUUUAGAA